Camelus dromedarius (Arabian camel) is the source of this 1750-nucleotide long non-coding RNA. RefSeq lists it as uncharacterized. NCBI's taxonomy places the organism in Eukaryota, Metazoa, Chordata, Mammalia, Artiodactyla, Camelidae. The transcript is spliced from 3 exons. The record is from RefSeq and is a predicted model, not a curated record.
GCCUCACUGCAGCGCCCACGUCUGAGGAGCAGGAUCAGCCCAGAUAACAGGUUGUAACCGUGUUAGAAGAAAAGCCAGGCCCUGUGUCUCCCAGGGACAGGCUCUGCUGAGCAGGCGCCCACAGUCAGUAUCACCUGCACAGGUGGGAGACGAGCUCAGGUCCCCGCACUGCGGCGGCGUGGGAACCAGAGGGCCGGGUUCAGAACAGCCAGUGGCAAACCAGCUCCGUUUUUCUUACGGACUUCCUUCCCUUCUCUGAUUCCACCAUAUCCCACACCUGGAUGGGAGCCACAGCUGUUUGGAAAUACAGUGAUACUUCUUCUGGAUUUCUGCAUUUCCCAAGCUACAUAAAGCAUCAAUAAUUUUAUCUAUACUGGUAUCACCAGUGUAGCUUCUGCCACCGACUGGUCUCCCCAUUCAGCAGCGGGCCUGCCUCACCAACAGGACCAGAGGCUCCAGAGAGGUAGCCAGGCCCCAGCUGGCCUGAGCUUUACUGCCCCUUCAGUGCGAAGAUCCACUCAAAGCGAGGAGGGUCCCAUGGAAGGGACACGAGUCCCCAAAGGACUCCGGCUGGCCAAAGAUGGGACAAACUGAGCAUCAAAAAGAAUAAUGUCCACAAUGGCCUGAACCACAUGACAUGUUUAAAGGUCUAUCAGCUCAUAAAACAAAACCCCAGUGGUCACCUUUGGUGACCAGAGUACAGCACAGUCUGAAAAGUAAUAAAUAAAAUGCUUCUACAGGAAGUGGAAUUUCAGAAAAGCCAAGUCCCUCUAUAAGGCUUCCACAUAAUACAGGAAGGUGUAACAGGAUGAGAACAUCACCAUUUUGUAACCUACAGUGGAAACACGCGUCUCGGCAGCAUUCCUUCACGCAUGCUGAGUGCCAGGUGAAAGGCUGAUGGGAGCCUACCCAGGGGAGGAGCUGGAACACCACCAACAUCCACAACGGCCAGAUACCAGGCACCUCCUGAGAGCGCCUCACCUUUGUGAAGUUCUGUCCCAGCGCUGAGCCUUAAAUCCAUUCCAUUCCACAGGUCUAACCCCCAGAUUACAGGGAGUACGAGAGGAGAGAGUAUGUUCAUUGACAUAUGAACAUAAACCCAGGCAAGUCCAGAAUUUGGAAAAUUAUAAUAGACAAAGUUCCACGUUUCUUUACAAAUAAAUGGCAUAAGAUAAAAAAAGAGAAGGGGAAUUAAUCUAAAUUAAGAGACUUAGAAGAUGUCUAGCAACUAAAUGUAAUGUUUGGACCCACCGGAAUGCUAAUUUGAAAAAACCAACUGUAAGAAGACAUUUUGAGACAAUCAGGAACAAGUACACACAGACUGGGCAUUAGAUGAGUAGAGGGAAUCAUAAAUGUACAAGUUAUGCUAAUUACAUAAAGUUUAAGGAAGGCUCAGUUUAAUUUUAAAAAGUCUUACAAGAAGUGUACUUUGAACAUGUGCUUUUAACGUUUUAAAAUUAACUCUGUAGCACAGCUGAAAAUACAAGAUAAAUUCUAUAUUUACCUAAAAUAAAUGAGGCAAGGUGCUUGGAGUCUCAUAAUACGGCCACGAAUCAUUUGACAGGUGUUUACGCAAAUUUAGGGAACAUCUUUGACAACCUGUAUCAGAUGGUCAAUCAACAAACACGAUCAGUAUGUACUAUAAAUUCUCCUAAUUAACUAAUCACAUAAGUUGGUUAUAGCAAGACUUUUUCUUAAAUCUUGUUAAUUAUUUUAACAAGGGAAAGAGGCAUUCCAAUUUUCUGCAAGC